RNAcentral lists this ribosomal RNA (305 nucleotides) under uncultured bacterium. RNAcentral's name for it is "bacterial SSU rRNA". It matches the Rfam family "Bacterial small subunit ribosomal RNA", at positions 338 to 641 of the family's 1533-position model. The record is from RNAcentral.
CCUACGGGGCGCAGCAGUGAGGAAUAUUGGUCAAUGGGCUAAGGCCUGAACCAGCCAAGUCGCGUGAGGGAAGACGGUCCUAUGGAUUGUAAACCUCUUUUGUCGGGGAGCAACGAGGCCACGUGUGGCCGAAGUGAGAGUACCCGAAGAAAAAGCAUCGGCUAACUCCGUGCCAGCAGCCGCGGUAAUACGGAGGAUGCGAGCGUUAUCCGGAUUUAUUGGGUUUAAAGGGUGCGCAGGCGGUCUGUUAAGUCAGCGGUCAAAGCCCGGGGCUCAACCCCGGCCCGCCGUUGAAACUGGCAGUC